Long non-coding RNA from Triticum dicoccoides, 502 nucleotides. RefSeq lists it as uncharacterized. The transcript is spliced from 6 exons. The record is from RefSeq and is a predicted model, not a curated record. NCBI's taxonomy places the organism in Eukaryota, Viridiplantae, Streptophyta, Magnoliopsida, Poales, Poaceae.
GGUACCCGCUUAUCUGCUCUUGCGGAACUAGGCCAUCAGUCUACCAUAGAUGAGGUUGUCCGUCGAUUUAAUGUCUUUCUGGAAGACAGAGAGACGCCACUCCUCCCACCAGAUGUUCGAAAGGCUGCAUAUGUUGCACUGAUGCAGACCGUGAACAAGUCAAACAAAAGUGGGUAUGAAUCUCUCCUGAAGAUUUACAGGGAAACUGAUCUGAGCUAGGAAAAAGUUCGUGUGCUUGGUUCUUUGGCAUCGUCCCCUGACCCUGAUGUUGUUCGUGAAGCGCUGAAUUUCCUGCUAUCGUCUGAGGUAAGGAAUCAGGAUUGCAUAAUUGUGCUUCGCGGAGUGACUGCAGCAGCGCAUGAGGUGGCAUGGACAUGGUUGAAGGAAAACUGGGACUACAUAGCAGAGACCUUCACUAGACACCUGCUCACCUAUUUCAUCACCGUCACUGUCUCACCGCUCGCCACAGACGAGAAGGGUGACGAGGCAGAGGAGUUCUUCA